This 270-nucleotide ribosomal RNA is filed under the name uncultured archaeon. Its description in RNAcentral is "partial 16S ribosomal RNA". It matches the Rfam family "Archaeal small subunit ribosomal RNA", at positions 477 to 747 of the family's 1478-position model. The record is from RNAcentral.
CUGCAGCCCGAGUGGUGAUCGAUUUUAUUGAGCCUAAAGCGUCCGUAGCCGGACUAGUAAACCCUUGGGUAAAUUGGGCAGCUUAACUGUCCAAAUUCCGAGGGGACUGCUAGUCUUGGGACCGGGAGAGGUCAGAGGUACUCAAGGGGUAGGGGCUAAAUCCUGUAAUCCUUUGGGGACCACCAGUGGCGAAGGCGUCUGACUAGAACGGAUCCGACGGUAAGGGACGAAACCCUGGGGCGCGAAACGGAUUAGAUACCCGCGUAGUCC